GACGAACGCUGGCGGCGUGCUUAACACAUGCAAGUCGAGCGAUGAAAUUCUCUUCGGAGAAUGGAUUAGCGGCGGACGGGUGAGUAACACGUGGGUAACCUGCCUUAUAGUGGGGGAUAGCCUUUCGAAAGGAAGAUUAAUACCGCAUAAUAUUGUAGUUUCGCAUGAAACAACAAUUAAAGAUUUAUCGCUAUAAGAUGGACCCGCGGCGCAUUAGCUAGUUGGUAAGGUAACGGCUUACCAAGGCGACGAUGCGUAGCCGACCUGAGAGGGUGAUCGGCCACAUUGGGACUGAGACACGGCCCAGACUCCUACGGGAGGCAGCAGUGGGGAAUAUUGCACAAUGGGGGAAACCCUGAUGCAGCAACGCCGCGUGAGUGAUGACGGUCUUCGGAUUGUAAAGCUCUGUCUUUAGGGACGAUAAUGACGGUACCUAAGGAGGAAGCCACGGCUAACUACGUG
Molecule: ribosomal RNA, 462 nt
Filed under: uncultured bacterium
Lineage: Bacteria
Description: bacterial SSU rRNA
Rfam family: Bacterial small subunit ribosomal RNA
Source: RNAcentral